Long non-coding RNA from Mobula hypostoma (lesser devil ray), 1833 nucleotides. RefSeq lists it as uncharacterized. The record is from RefSeq and is a predicted model, not a curated record. NCBI's taxonomy places the organism in Eukaryota, Metazoa, Chordata, Chondrichthyes, Myliobatiformes, Myliobatidae. The transcript is spliced from 9 exons.
CAGAAAUUAUAAAGCUUUGGAGGAUUGAUGGAAGUAUUGAGCACCCUGGUUCUUGUUAAAUGUCAGCCUUAGCUCAGUGGUCGUUGCCCUGUUGUCUCUGAACCAAGAGGUUAUGAGAUGAGUCCUUCUUCUAGAGUUAAGCACACCUCUUGGCUGACAUUUCAGAGUUGUUUUGAUGGAAAUACUGACUUCUAACUUACUAAAAGACAUUGAACUACAAUGAUGUUUGCCUUUUCAGCACUCAGCAUCGGACACACUUCCAGAACACUAACUCCACUGGGGACAGAAAUAGACGCAUCCAGACCACAACUGUAUGCCCAGGAGAUACUGGCGCUGUUCAUUUCAACAAACUGGAAAUCCUGUGGAAAUACAGGAACCAUUGUUUAGCAGAGACCUGUGAUAAAAUGAGCCUGCAGAGAUUCGACAUGUCAUUAAAAAUCUUGACAAAGUUCAAUCGAUGUGUGAUGGAAAGAAUACUGACUGGCUGCAUUAUGGCCUGAGAUGGGAUCACCAACACCUUUGAGUGGAAAAUCCUAUGAAAGAUGCUGAAUGAUCUGCUGAGGAUAUCCGACUUCUCAGGUUUCCAGUAGCUGCAGCAAUUUAAUAUUUUGCUUUUGGAAGAGAGAAAUCUUGCAUGGUGUGGUAUACCCCACUUUACCUUCAUCAACACGAGAAAUUCUGCAGGCGCAGGGAAUCCAAAGUAAUACAGGCACAAUGCUGGAGGAACGCAGCAGGUCAGACAGCAUCUCUGAGACUCUUCUUCAGGAUUGGAAGGAAGGGGGAAGACACCAGAAUAAAAAGUCUCAUCAUGGCGCAAGAGGAGGCCAUGGACCAACAUAUUGGAACAGAAAUGGGAAUCAGAAUUAAAAUGUUUGGCUACCAGGAAGUUCUGUUGGUGGUUGGAGUGGAGGUGCUCGACGAAGCGGUCCCCAAUUUACGGCGGGUCUUACCAACGUAGAGGAAACCGCAUCAGGAGCAGCAGACACAAUGGACGACCCUAGCAGAUUCACAGAAUUCCUGCCACAACACUAGGAUAAAUCUUACAGAAAAAAGUGGAAGUUAAGAAAUUGUUUGUUCAGAAAGAAGUCAAAAGCAAAAUCCUGCAAUUGUUGGAAAUCUCAAAUACGAAAAAGGAAAUGGAAGAAAUGCUGUGCAGUUGCACCUGACCUGCUGAAUAUUUCCAGCACGUUGUUUUAUUUGAAAAAGCAAUUCAUUGGAUUGAAUUUUCCCAAUCUUUCUCUACAUCCCUGAAAUCUUUCUUUUCCUAUGGUAUGUCUUAUAUCUUUUAAGAGUUAAUAUUGAAUCUGCUUCUACCACCCUUUAAGUUGAAAUAGUAUCCUGUGAAAUUCUUACUGCAUCCGUCUUCGCUUUUAUUGUUAACUUUUAAAUCUAAAACCCCUAAUGACUGAUAUUCUGUUAGUGGAAAUUGUUUCUUUUUACUUAAAUGAUAAAAGCUCCACUUAAUUUCAGAACCAGAAUCAGUUUUAUUAUCACUGGCAUAUGUUGUGAAAUUUGUUGUUUUGUGGCAGCAGCGCACUGCAGUGCAUAAUAAUAAAUACUAUAAAAUUACAAUAUGUAUACAAAAAAAGAAAAUUUAAUUAAAUAAGUAGUGCAAAAACUGAGAAACAAAAUUCCUGAGGUAGCGUUCGUGGGUUCAUUGUCCAUUCAGAAAUCCUGUGGCAGACGGGAAGAAGCUGCUCCCGAAAUGCUGAGUGUGUGUCUUUAGGCUCCUGUACCUCUUGGAUCAGCCAUGACGAAAUGGUGGAGCAGACUCGAUGGGCCAGAAGGCCUAAUUCUUCUCCUAUGUUUUAUGGCCUUAUGGACUCUUCCUUG